Molecule: ribosomal RNA, 300 nt
Filed under: uncultured Lactobacillus sp.
Lineage: Bacteria; Bacillati; Bacillota; Bacilli; Lactobacillales; Lactobacillaceae
Description: partial 16S ribosomal RNA
Rfam family: Bacterial small subunit ribosomal RNA
Source: RNAcentral
GCGACCUCGGUGCCAGGGGCCGCGGAAAGACGGGGGGGGCUAGCGUGGUUCGGAAUUACUGGGCGUAAAGCGUGCGGAGGCGGUUUGUUAAGCGAGAUGUGAAAGCCCUGGGCUCAACCUAGGAAGAGCAUUUCGAACUGGCGAACUAGAGUGUUGUAGAGGGGGGUAGAAUUCCAGGUGUAGCGGUGAAAUGCGUAGAGAUCUGGAGGAAUACCGGUGGCGAAGGCGGCCCCCUGGACAAAGACUGACGCUCAUGCACGAAAGCGUGGGGAGCAAACAGGAUUAGAUACCCGUGUAGUC